This 248-nucleotide ribosomal RNA is filed under the name uncultured bacterium. Its description in RNAcentral is "partial 16S ribosomal RNA". It matches the Rfam family "Bacterial small subunit ribosomal RNA", at positions 110 to 353 of the family's 1533-position model. The record is from RNAcentral.
GUAACACGUGGGUAACCUGCCUCAUAGGGGGGAAGUAGCCUUUCGAAAGGAAGAUUAAUACCGCAUAAGAUUGUAGUACCGCAUGGUACAGCAAUUAAAGGAGUAAUCCGCUAUGAGAUGGACCCGCGUCGCAUUAGCUAGUUGGUGAGGUAACGGCUCACCAAGGCGACGAUGCGUAGCCGACCUGAGAGGGUGAUCGGCCACAUUGGGACUGAGACACGGCCCAGACUCCUACGGGAGGCAGCAUG